This is a long non-coding RNA of Salvia splendens (bonfire salvia), 1123 nucleotides long. RefSeq lists it as uncharacterized. The transcript has 3 exons. The record is from RefSeq and is a predicted model, not a curated record. NCBI's taxonomy places the organism in Eukaryota, Viridiplantae, Streptophyta, Magnoliopsida, Lamiales, Lamiaceae.
UUCCACCUACACAGUCGGCCUCUCUCCCUCAUUUGUUAUCCUACUGCUGCAGGGCUCCCUUCCUCUGUCCCUUGCAGCAUCUUUACUGAGUUUUUGAUGUGGUUUUGCAGGUGUCUAAGGUGUGCAGGGUUGUUAACUCAAAAUCUGCAGAGCGGCUGCAGCUGUCCCUUCAUUUUUUUUUUGGCUUGGAGCAGCAACCGGACAUGGGAGGAAGAGGUGCAGAGGUUGCAGCCAUCUCACCCCUUUUGGCAAGUCUUUGGUCUUCGAACUAAAGGUUCUUAUAUUCAAAGGAGGAAGUGAAGUUUGGCUGGCGGUGGCCGCUGGUAGCUCUCGGCGAACAGACCGCACUCACGGCUAGGAAUAGAGUUCGUGAAGAAUAGAUCAGCAAAUGAAACACAGCCAUUGCUAUGUGUGCCAAGGGCAGUCUCCCGGCCUUGCUUGCAAUUUUCAGAUGAUCGCUUGGAAGACUCAAUAUGAGCAGGUGUCUUCCACACAUUGGAGUAGUCAUUCCACAAAGCAUCGGUAAAGUAUGCUGGUUUCUUCUUCUUCUGUUUCAAAUUAUAGAUAUAAUCCCCAUAUCUCUCUUUAUAUUUACCACAUAAGGCAAUCCUGUAGAGGUUUUGAUCAUAGCUCUCUGUGUUUGCGUGUUUCUGCAAAAUAAAUAGCAAAUGCAAGUUGAGGAUUGUUUAAAUAUAGUAAACAAAGGCUGGAAUCUUUAUAUUUAUCAGUAUAUUUAAAAUAGAGGCCAUAAACUUGAUAGAGAAAAGUGAAAAGUAUAUUUAUGCCUAUGAGUUAAUGGUUUUGAUCACGGCAUAUAUUGGCAGCGGCUCUUGAUUCUUGAAGGAAACAAUCUGCAUCAAUAUCAAUAAAUGGUUAGUAACUUCAAAAAGAUUAUAAAAAGGUAGUAUUAUUUAUGUUCACUUACUCUCCAUUCCUGAGGUGUAUAUACUUCCGGCCAUAUUCGUCUAGAGGACGAGGUGAAAAUAUAUAUUACAUGACUUGAAGUUAUUUAAUUAUAUGUUGUAGUGAAACAAAGACGUCUAGAUGUCCCCUAUAAUUGUAUAUCGACUUCAUACUGAUCAAAAAAGGUAACAAUACAUCUUUGAACUGAUAAGUUUUGCAA